UCGCAACGCAUCUCGUGUCCGAUAAAAAGAGUGUAUCUCCUGAGAAUAAUUAAGAAACAGAUUCUCCUGUUGGACACGGGACAAGAUUAGAAACUUAUAGGAUAAGUGUUGCAACCUUUUUGCAACUGGCCAUACGUCACUUUGGCUAUGUUCCAAAAUUUAGCUGCCAGCGCUGAAAAUCUAUAGUUUGUAUUACGUGUACUAAAUAAAUUUUCAAUAUUGGCAGUGAAUAUUGGAACGCAGCCUUUAUAUUUAUAUUUAUUAUGAGUAUACUUAUGAGUUCCUAUGUUACUAUGAGUUCUUAUCUCCAACUUACAUAUUUAUUCGAAUCCAUUUCAACAGAAGUCGGCAAGAGUAAAAGAUGAGAAUUUAUUGCGGGUGAAGACUCUUUUUUUUUCCUUGUAGCACAUGUUAUGACCACACCAUUCACGCGAGCGCAAGAGCUUCCAUCUCUUAUGUAAAUCAUACUUUGCACAUCAUAAUAUCCACGGUCAUCUUUCGAAUCACUUUUAUAUUUCAAAACACGUUUAUGUUUCGAGUUACGUUUACAUUUCCGUACCCCGUCCGAUCUUAUGCUUACUUAUAUUUGCUGUUCAUACUUCGGUGAGUUCGACUUGGAUGUUUUUUGACAUUGAUGAUCUCGAUGGCCUAUGACUUCGAAGAAUAUGCAUUCGACGAUCAUGAAUUCGGCAAUGAACUCAAUCCAUACGAACUUACUAGGUGUCCGUGUCUGUCAUGAUAAUUUCUUGAUAUAUAAUUUAGAAUUAGAACUUGAUAAUAAAAUUUGUAUUAUGUGCGUGUGUAUGUAACAUUUUGAAACACUGAGCAAAGCAUCGGUUGCGUUCGGCAGAACGCGUUUAUUUUACAAUUUGGAAAUUUUUUGUGUACUGAGAUUGGAUUAUUCCUAUAGAUCUGAGAGAAUAGUCCAAUCUCAGCUCAAGGAAUUUCCAACUGUUUCAAAAUAAAUAUUCUGCUGAACGUGGUCAUUAUAAUAAUAAUAUUUAAAGAAUAAUAUUUUUAAAUCGGUAAGCGUAUAUGAGAGAGAGAGAGAGAGAGAAAGAGAGAGAAAGUAAGAGGCAAGAUCAGAGGGCGUUAACGUACUACGAGCUUCGUCAUAUCGCGCUUGCGCGCUCCGUCUCGACCAGGCAAUCGAGGAAGUCUCUCUAUCGUAUAUACCGUGCUAUUAAAGUAGAUGCAAAUUGUAUUUUUUCUGAAGGUCGUUGGAAGAUAUUUAACAAAGAUUAUUGGCCGUCCUUCGCAUUUUAAAAGAAUACUCCAAGGUUCGUCGUUUGAACGUAGAUAAACAGCAUCCCAGGAGGAAUAAGUGGUGGAAGGGCGGAGACGUGACGUACGUUGAGAGAGCGAGAAGAGACGAUCGAGACGGCGAGAGAUCGCAGAGGAGCGAUUUGGAGAGAGGAAAGGAGACGGUUGGAAAUCUCGUGGGUGGGAGACACACGAACAUCGUGAAUUCGCGAGCGAGCUAUUGCACAGGGCGCCUCAAAAGUCGCUAGCUUUUCUCUGUGCAUUUAAAUCAUCAGAGGAUUCGAGAGUCCUGGUCGCUACACCGUAAAUCAAGAAAAGAGGAGGAACAUGAGGGGAGGAGUAGAGAAGGGAGAAGAAAGAGAGAGAAGCGCAGAAGAGAAAGAACAGAAUGUGUCGGUACCUUUGCUGAAAAAGAAGGCCAACUGCGCCGUGGGCACCGUGAUACGUCGUCGACGGCGUUUCACAUUGACAUGAAAACAGCCACUGGCGGGGCAUUCUUUUAUUUACGUAACCGUCUCCCUAUCGCGGAAGAAAUCUCACCGGGAGAGAAGAUCGAUCGAUCGUAUCUGCGCGUACUUGAUCGUUGAACGCCGCUUACGCUUCGCGCGAACGUGGAAUCACGCGAACGAGGGUUGGGAGUCACGAAUACGUAGAUUUAAUUGUAAGCCCGCCACAACUCGUCGAGUGAAUUGCAUAUUAUUAGCGGUGAACUAAUAUUCGGCUGCUAUACCUGGAAAUUGUCGGCGCAUUUGGGCACAAUGUAGCUCGAAGCCCUUGUAUCUCGGAACUUUUUCGCCGCGUAUCAAACGGGAGAAAAACAACAAAUCUGACGAUAUCGAUGUUUAUUUACACUCAUCUCCGAUAAUUGUUGUAUACCGAUACCGAUAUCGCGUGUCGACGAUAAUAUGUAGAAGCAUUCUCUCUUUAUGUAUCUUCAAAACAAACGUAAU
Molecule: long non-coding RNA, 2213 nt
Organism: Dinoponera quadriceps
Lineage: Eukaryota; Metazoa; Arthropoda; Insecta; Hymenoptera; Formicidae
Exons: 3
Source: RefSeq, a predicted model, not a curated record